Molecule: ribosomal RNA, 721 nt
Filed under: Crossodactylodes sp. 1 MTS-2020
Lineage: Eukaryota; Metazoa; Chordata; Amphibia; Anura; Leptodactylidae
Description: partial 12S ribosomal RNA
Rfam family: Bacterial small subunit ribosomal RNA
Source: RNAcentral
AAAAAGAGCCGGCAAAUCUGGUGCCAGCCGCCGCGGUUACACCACGUGACUCAAAUUGACCCUUUUCGGCGUAAAGCGUGAUUAAAGUUACUCACAAUUGGAGUAAAACCCUAACUAAGCUGUGACACGCUUGUGUAUGGGAAAGUCAAAAACGAAAGUUACUCCAAUUAAUUCAACUUGAACUCACGACAGCUGGGGAACAAACUGGGAUUAGAUACCCCACUAUGCCCAGCCGUAAACUUUUAAUUACACCCAUUUCGCCCGGGAACUACGAGCUAAGCUUAAAACCCAAAGGACUUGACGGUACCCCACAUCCACCUAGAGGAGCCUGUCCUAUAAUCGAUAACCCCCGUUUAACCUCACCAUCUUUAGCCUAUCAGCCUGUAUACCUCCGUCGUCAGCUUACCACGUGAGCGAUAUAAGUGAGCUUAAUGCCCAUACGCCAACACGUCAGGUCAAGGUGCAGCAAAUAAGAUGGGAAGAGAUGGGCUACACUUUCUAACUUAGAACAUACGAAAGACUACUUAUGAAACCCCUAGUCAGAAGGCGGAUUUAGAAGUAAAAAGAGAUCAGUAAAACUCUUUUUAACCCGGCACUGGGGCGUGUACACACCGCCCGUCACCCUCUUCAAGGCUUACAAAUAGUCCUUAACUAACCCACUGCCGCAUAGAAGAGGCAAGUCGUAACAUGGUAAGUAUACCGGAAGGUAUGCUUGGAACAA